UCCCUGGUGGUCCAGUGGUUAAGACUCUGCUUCCAACACAGGGUAUAUGGGUUUGAUCCCUACUCAGGGAA
This 71-nucleotide transfer RNA is filed under the name Ovis aries (sheep). It matches the Rfam family "tRNA". Rfam says of the family: Transfer RNA (tRNA) molecules are approximately 80 nucleotides in length. Their secondary structure includes four short double-helical elements and three loops (D, anti-codon, and T loops). Further hydrogen bonds mediate the characteristic L-shaped molecular structure. tRNAs have two regions of fundamental functional importance: the anti-codon, which is responsible for specific mRNA codon recognition, and the 3' end, to which the tRNAs corresponding amino acid is attached (by aminoacyl-tRNA synthetases). tRNAs cope with the degeneracy of the genetic code in two manners: having more than one tRNA (with a specific anti-codon) for a particular amino acid; and 'wobble' base-pairing, i.e. permitting non-standard base-pairing at the 3rd anti-codon position. The record is from Rfam by way of RNAcentral. Lineage: Eukaryota; Metazoa; Chordata; Mammalia; Artiodactyla; Bovidae.